CCCAGUGCGGGCUAUGCAAAGAACGGCAUUUGCGAUUCACGAGAGGAUGCUUACAAAUUCACGUACACGACUCUUCUCUCCUGCUAUGACAAUCUGGGCGACGUAAAAAAGAUCCAUGCGCACCACUGCAUUUGUAAUGUGGAAUCCAGAUAAGGUGUUUGAAUAGUUGGACGUGGGGCUGUGGACUGCAACCUAAGGAUCGUGGAAGCCAUCCAAGCGAUAGAACAACAAGGUUUCGAGCGAGCAGCUUUAUGCUGCCUGCUCUCCUCCAGAUUGUGGAAGGUAGCAAUUGUUGAUCUGCUCAAGUCUCCAGGAAUCACGCACCAAUCAGUCAGGAAUAGCUUGUAUACAGAGUGUGAUUGACAUGUGAAUUGCAACUCCUUUUCUCUUCACAGAUCCUUUCUGUUGUAUGCGCAACUUUUGCGAUGGAGCAAGAAAUUUCUAAUGUUUGUUUAUUUUGCUAGAUGUCGUGAAACAAGCAAGGCAUAGGAGGACGAGCAAGCGGUGAUUGCCGGGCUGGAGGAGGAGCAUAGAAUCAGUUAGAACGCUCAAAGUUCGUGGGUAUGACCAUAACCGGAGAAAUCAUAUCAGCUGUUUUGUGGUACGCUUGUGUCUUCCAGUUGUAUAAGAAUUCAAUCCAAGGGCCCCGUAGGAAGUGCCAACUUUGCUAUGGCCUCGUCCAGCUUUAUCGCAAAGUCUAGGACAUCCAGAGCAAGCCAG
RNAcentral lists this long non-coding RNA (720 nucleotides) under Selaginella moellendorffii. RNAcentral's name for it is "long non-coding RNA (SMOE_LNC001683)". Lineage: Eukaryota; Viridiplantae; Streptophyta; Lycopodiopsida; Selaginellales; Selaginellaceae. The record is from RNAcentral.